Molecule: ribosomal RNA, 130 nt
Filed under: Dictyocaulus viviparus (bovine lungworm)
Lineage: Eukaryota; Metazoa; Nematoda; Chromadorea; Rhabditida; Metastrongylidae
Source: RNAcentral
CUGUAUGGCCAUACUACGUUAAAAACACGCCAUCCCUUCUGAUAUGGUAAGCUGAGCAAUGUUAGGCCUGGUAAGUACUUGAAUUGGAUGCUACUUCACUUUGCACAAAGGAAAUCAGCUGUUCUAGUAA